CGCACUCUCCUUCACUAAAUCUAGAGUCAUUCAACAGUCUAUGAGGGGGCGAGCCCUGCGCCGCCCCUUAGGGGCCUCAGUAGCGGGAGCAGACGACAUCGAGAAAGAGGUUAGUUUAAAUCGGACGAGUAACUUUUAUACCCAAUAAAUACGUCACAUAUUAAACCAUCGAUUACCGACAGUUGGUCUCCUGACAUAAUCUCCCCUUAAGGAGGGGGAUGAGAUUUGACUGACUAAUCACAUGUCGAUUUGGACCAGACGAGGAAUUUUUCUAACCAGUGAAAAAUAUGUCACAUAUUAAAUCAUCGGUUACCAACGGGUGGUCGGGUGGUCUUCUGACAUAAUCUCCACUUAAAAGUCCAUCCCUUUGAGAGGAUCAGUGGUGGAACUACUAAACUCAGUACUCAUUUGCCCGUGAGGACGAUUUGGCCAUAUUUCGAGAGCAUUGCCAUUUGUCAUGAUAAUCAGUCACUUAUCAAGACAUUUGGCCAUUUGUCAUGCUAUGAGCACUGCCUAUCAACUAACGGCUUGGAUCACUUCUGCCUAUAAAUACAAGGGUUAACAACUCAGGUCCAACCAGAGUUGAAAAUCCUAACGAGUCUUUGAAGAUUGAGUUGGGCACAAAACCGACGUUUGCAAGUCAAAAUGAUCCCCAUGGCUGACCGACUCCAGAGGGGUGUCAACAGUCCAUUAUCUCGACCAGGUCUCGGCUUAUACAGGCAAGGUAUGACUUCAUACGUGGAGCUUCUUCCAAAUUCCAAGGUCCAGUAAGGCGCCUAAUCAGCCACCGCCCCCACUUUUCGCUCAUUGUUUAUUGAUAUGACUUACGAUAUACGACGAAAGCAGUCAACAGCUCAGCGUGAAUUCUUGAACGCGCGCUGUCUUGACGAGGAAUCCUUGUGCUGUAUCUGUUCACGUAAAGUAGUAACUAGCUAGGUAAAUCCCCUUUUAUCAUUUGACCUUGUCAAAAUGCACGUGUGAAAUUUACUAAAGUUCCCCCCA
Molecule: long non-coding RNA, 1002 nt
Organism: Syzygium oleosum
Lineage: Eukaryota; Viridiplantae; Streptophyta; Magnoliopsida; Myrtales; Myrtaceae
Exons: 2
Source: RefSeq, a predicted model, not a curated record